This 314-nucleotide small RNA is filed under the name Pogona vitticeps (central bearded dragon). Its description in RNAcentral is "7SK RNA (ENSPVIG00000015005.1)". The stretch from base 1 to 201 matches the Rfam family "7SK RNA". From Rfam's summary of the family: 7SK was discovered as an abundant small nuclear RNA in the mid-70s but a possible function has only recently been suggested. Two independent studies have found that 7SK RNA binds the CDK9/cyclin T complex (known as elongation factor P-TEFb). The record is from RNAcentral. Lineage: Eukaryota; Metazoa; Chordata; Lepidosauria; Squamata; Agamidae.
GGAUGUGAGGGCGAUCUGGCUGCGACAUCUGUCACCCCAUUGAUCGCCAGGGUUGAUUCGGCUGAUCUGGCUGGCUAGGCGGGUGUCCCCUUCCUCCCUCACCGCUCCAUGUGCGUCCCUCCCGAAGCUGCGCGCUCGGUGGAAGAGGACGACCAUCCCAGAUAGAAGGAGUGUACCGUUCUUCGGUCAAGGGUAUAAUGAAUGAAUGAAUGAAUGAAUGAAUGAAUGAAUGAAUGAAUGAAUGAAUGAAUGAAUGAAUAUUUAGAAAGUAUGAAGGAUACUCAUGAGUAGAGGGAAGUGCUCUAGCUCUGUCA